UUUAAUGCAUGCCUUGACGAAAAUGGAGAACUGGAUCUUGAUAUCAAUGGAUUAAGAGCAAAAGUCAUCACUCUCUUUAAUCUUGUGCCUGAUGCUGAUCUUACACUGACGUAUAUUGAUGAAGAUGGUGACGUGGUAACACUUGUUGAUGAUGAAGAUCUGCAUGAUGUGAUGAGACAGCGCUUGAAGUUCUUGAGGAUUACCGUGCUGCUAAAUAUUGAAAAGGAUGGUAGGUCUCACACUCGGUCAAGUGGAAGUUCUACUCCCAUGAGAUCACCUUUUAACCUGCGCCCAUUUCAAGAUGGCAAUGCUGGUGUUGCUCCCAUGAGAUCACCUUUUGACCUGCGCCCAUUUCAAGAUGGCAAUGCUGGUGUUGCUCCCAUGAGACCACCUUUUGACCUGCGCCCAUUUCAAGAUGGCAAUGCUGGUGUUGCUGAAUUUAUUAAAUCAGUACCAGAGCCACUACUUGAAGCAUUUUCGAAACUAUCAACAGAUUUUACUUCUAAAGCUGCAUCCUCUGCUCCAGUGCUUUCUGAGGUUCUUACCUGCCUCUCAAAGAUGGGAGAAUCCUACCUCAAUUCUGUUUCUCCAUCUGAGGUUGGUGCAGAUUCAAGCACACAUAAUAGGUCAUCUGACAACUCCGUCGAUCCUUUAGUGACUGAAAAUACAAAAGCUCCGCAAGCUGACAGCAAACAAGAACUGCUGCCAACUGCUGAACUCAAAGAUUCAAAUUCUAAACUUAAUGAAGUG
RNAcentral lists this long non-coding RNA (750 nucleotides) under Vitis vinifera (wine grape). RNAcentral's name for it is "long non-coding RNA (VVIN_LNC005763)". Lineage: Eukaryota; Viridiplantae; Streptophyta; Magnoliopsida; Vitales; Vitaceae. The record is from RNAcentral.